This 59-nucleotide transfer RNA is filed under the name Oxyrrhis marina. Lineage: Eukaryota; Dinophyceae; Oxyrrhinales; Oxyrrhinaceae. The record is from RNAcentral.
AGUGGCCUAGUGGUUGAGACGUCCGCCUGGUAUCCCAGGGGUCGUCGGUUCAAGCCCGG